AAAGUAGGAAGGAAGGGAAAUUCUGUCCUACUGAAUACCAGGAUUUUCUAAUUUAAUUUAGCCCUCUGUUUUCACAGAAGCAACCAGUUUCCAGCCAGAAAGAUGGGACAGCUCUCUGAGUCUUCUUUCAUUCAAGCUGGAUUGGGGAAGGGAAAAAGAAAUCUCAGGGAGCCUUUUAUAACUUCUUGCCCUUGACUGACUAACUGCUCAGUCUUCAGCUUUUGCAUUCCGGAGUGAGUGUGGAGGCAUUGAGGUCUGCAGGAAUAAAUGAGAGAAGUCCAUAUGCCUCCAGGACUGGAUGACUGAAACAGCUGCAUUUGAAAGAAACACAAAAGAAGAUACUAAAUCCUGUCAUAUCAACCUCAACAGAAUGGGAAUCCUCUCAAAAGGUUCUUCCACCGCACCCAUAAUAACUGCUUACUUAUCUUCUCACUAGAAUGGUUUCUGGUCUCCAGGUAGUGGUGGGAGCUUGGAGAAGGAAGACCUUGGAAUGCAAAGUCUUGGGUUCUGAUUGAUAACUCUGUAUUUUACUACAUAUAGAGCUAUGAGCAAAUCCCCAAGUCUUGCUGAAAUUCAAUUUCCUUCUCUCAAAAGUAGGGAUAAAAAU
RNAcentral lists this long non-coding RNA (607 nucleotides) under Monodelphis domestica (gray short-tailed opossum). Its description in RNAcentral is "lncRNA (ENSMODG00000039267.1)". Lineage: Eukaryota; Metazoa; Chordata; Mammalia; Didelphimorphia; Didelphidae. The record is from RNAcentral.